AACCGCCGUAUACUGAACGGUACGUAUGGUGGUGUGAUAGGUCGGAGGUUAAUCGCCCCUUCCUACUCGAU
RNAcentral lists this unclassified non-coding RNA (71 nucleotides) under Aneurinibacillus migulanus. The record is from RNAcentral. Lineage: Bacteria; Bacillati; Bacillota; Bacilli; Caryophanales; Paenibacillaceae.